GACGAACGCUGGCGGCGUGCUUAACACAUGCAAGUCGGACGGGAAUAUACAAUUCGAACCUAAGUAGUUUACUAUGAGGGCGAGAAAGUAUAUUUUAGUGGCGGACGGGUGAGUAACACGUGAGGACCUGUCCUGUACAGGGGGACAACAGCUGGAAACGGCUGCUAAUACCGCGUAAGCCGAGAGGUGAAAGGUGCUCUGCACCGGUACAGGAGGGACUCGCGUCCUAUCAGCUAGUAGGUGAGGUAACGGCUCACCUAGGCGAAGACGGGUAGCCGGCCUGAGAGGGCGCACGGCCACACUGGAACUGAGAGACGGUCCAGACUCCUACGGGAGGCAGCAGUGGGGAAUAUUGGGCAAUGGGCGAAAGCCUGACCCAGCGACGCCGCGUGGAUGAAGAAAUCCUUCGGGAUGUAAAGUUCUGUUGUGUGGGAAGAGCGGAAGACGGUACCACACGAGGAAGCCCCGGCAAACUACGUGCCAGCCGCCGCAGUAAAAC
Molecule: ribosomal RNA, 499 nt
Filed under: uncultured bacterium
Lineage: Bacteria
Description: bacterial SSU rRNA
Rfam family: Bacterial small subunit ribosomal RNA
Source: RNAcentral